Molecule: non-coding RNA, 46 nt
Organism: Sarcophilus harrisii (Tasmanian devil)
Lineage: Eukaryota; Metazoa; Chordata; Mammalia; Dasyuromorphia; Dasyuridae
Source: Rfam
GCAAAGGCUCUUUUCAGAGCCACCCAAUUAUUUCAAGGGGAAAAAG